RNAcentral lists this ribosomal RNA (781 nucleotides) under Bacillus sp. (in: firmicutes). Its description in RNAcentral is "bacterial SSU rRNA". It matches the Rfam family "Bacterial small subunit ribosomal RNA", at positions 53 to 816 of the family's 1533-position model. Lineage: Bacteria; Bacillati; Bacillota; Bacilli; Caryophanales; Bacillaceae. The record is from RNAcentral.
ACAUGCAAGUCGAGCGGACAGAUGGGAGCUUGCUCCCUGAUGUUAGCGGCGGACGGGUGAGUAACACGUGGGUAACCUGCCUGUAAGACUGGGAUAACUCCGGGAAACCGGGGCUAAUACCGGAUGGUUGUUUGAACCGCAUGGUUCAAACAUAAAAGGUGGCUUCGGCUACCACUUACAGAUGGACCCGCGGCGCAUUAGCUAGUUGGUGAGGUAACGGCUCACCAAGGCAACGAUGCGUAGCCGACCUGAGAGGGUGAUCGGCCACACUGGGACUGAGACACGGCCCAGACUCCUACGGGAGGCAGCAGUAGGGAAUCUUCCGCAAUGGACGAAAGUCUGACGGAGCAACGCCGCGUGAGUGAUGAAGGUUUUCGGAUCGUAAAGCUCUGUUGUUAGGGAAGAACAAGUACCGUUCGAAUAGGGCGGUACCUUGACGGUACCUAACCAGAAAGCCACGGCUAACUACGUGCCAGCAGCCGCGGUAAUACGUAGGUGGCAAGCGUUGUCCGGAAUUAUUGGGCGUAAAGGGCUCGCAGGCGGUUUCUUAAGUCUGAUGUGAAAGCCCCCGGCUCAACCGGGGAGGGUCAUUGGAAACUGGGGAACUUGAGUGCAGAAGAGGAGAGUGGAAUUCCACGUGUAGCGGUGAAAUGCGUAGAGAUGUGGAGGAACACCAGUGGCGAAGGCGACUCUCUGGUCUGUAACUGACGCUGAGGAGCGAAAGCGUGGGGAGCGAACAGGAUUAGAUACCCUGGUAGUCCACGCCGUAAACGAUGAGUGC